AUGGUGGUCCUGGGGAUGCAGAGAGAGGAGGGGCACCAGGCACAGCAGAGAGGGCUGGGACCCCCUCUAGGUGGCACACAGGUCAUGUGUAAAGUUGUAGGUCUGCCAAGUGGUGCUGGAUUCAACACAUCUUCUCACCUUCUCUUUCCAGCCACCCUCCAAGGUGCCCUGACUCACCUUCCCUGCAGAUGGAGGCAAGGAGACUCCACAGACAAACCCCCUGCCUGA
RNAcentral lists this long non-coding RNA (228 nucleotides) under Homo sapiens (human). Its description in RNAcentral is "non-protein coding lnc-FOXD4L6-15:1". The record is from RNAcentral. Lineage: Eukaryota; Metazoa; Chordata; Mammalia; Primates; Hominidae.